Bactrocera oleae (olive fruit fly) is the source of this 1152-nucleotide long non-coding RNA. RefSeq lists it as uncharacterized. The record is from RefSeq and is a predicted model, not a curated record. Lineage: Eukaryota; Metazoa; Arthropoda; Insecta; Diptera; Tephritidae.
AUUUUUCGUAUAUCGAGCAUACCAUACUUUUCUCACAAUAAUACAAGUAUUUUUCUGUCAAUAUUUCUGUCAGUUUAUAUAAUGAAAUAUUUUUCACUUUUUAGUUUGAAGUGCUUUAAAAGCGUGUUUUUUUGUAUUUAUGGUGUUAUUUAUUGGUGUUAAAAAAACUUUUAGCGCUACCAAUUUUCGACAAUAGUAGUAGAAGUAGCAAUAGCAAUAGUAACAACAACGGCAAUGGCAGUAGCAAUAGCAUGAGGAGCAGCAGCAGCAACGAACAGGCAACAUUAACCAAAUCAAUGAAUUCACCAUACGAAAAGCAGAACCAAUAAUAACAAUACCAUACAAACUUCAAAAUAUAAAAAAUCAGUAUAAUACGCAGUAGCAGCUGAGAAAUAAAGAAUUAAGGUGAGCCAAAGUUUAAAACCAACUGCAACGACGAACAAUUAACACCAUAGUUGAGUUUACGUGGAAGGAACAAAAGUUGAGGUAUUUCCCAUUCCCGACACGUUUGAACGUUCAAAAGGUUGGCAUUAACUAGGCAUUAACAUCACAAACGUUCGCUCGAAUCCAGAAAAUAAUAAUAAUAAACAAAAUUAAUAAAAUAUAAAAAAUCAUUAAGAUAACACAUUCUAUUUGUAGCACCGUUGAGGUUCCUGUUCGCUAUAAAAAUGAGAAGAGUUUUAGGUCCUAAAUGGUAAAGUUAUUGUGAGUGACUCCAAUGAGGGAUCGUCGGAGCGCCAGUUACCAGAAAAAUUUACUUUUUUUGAACGGCAUUAUAAUAAUAUAUAAUUAUGAAUAAUUCAAUGAUAACUAACCAAUAUUGCAUACAUUUAUUUUGGAUUAUAUUAAAACAUGUUUCGUUCUUCUGGUUCAUUUUAACACAAAAUUGAAAAUGGAAGAUUUUUGAAUUCUAAACCUAAUAUUUUUCGUUUGGUUAGAUAAUGUGAUUAGCUGAAAUUUUACCUUAACAUUUGUUUGUUAACCAAACCAAUGUUACGGGAAGUAAACAAAAGCUUCUAUGUUAAAAUUUCAGUACAAUGUUUGACGUUCUUAGCAUGUUAAAUAUUGGAGCCCUCAACUAUUUAUGUUGCAUUUAUUUUUAAAAUAUUUAUAGUAUAGAUAUUUUAACAAAUACAAAAAAAUAAUUUUUAA